UAAUCAGAUGGAUACUUUAGUUUCUCUCCAGUGUGCACCGCUGCGGUUUCAUCAAAGAGGCGGCCUGGCUGUCUGUGUCAGUGUCAGUGCCGCUGCUCUUUCAAACGGU
Sander lucioperca (pikeperch) is the source of this 109-nucleotide long non-coding RNA. RefSeq lists it as uncharacterized. Lineage: Eukaryota; Metazoa; Chordata; Actinopteri; Perciformes; Percidae. The transcript has 3 exons. The record is from RefSeq and is a predicted model, not a curated record.